AGGACUGUUUUGUGAUUUCUAAAUCUUUUGGAAUGAUACAGAGAUUAGCUUGGCCCCUGCACAAGGAUAACAUGCAAAUUCACUAUGAAAGUGAUAUCACA
Molecule: small nuclear RNA, 101 nt
Filed under: Chinchilla lanigera (long-tailed chinchilla)
Lineage: Eukaryota; Metazoa; Chordata; Mammalia; Rodentia; Chinchillidae
Source: RNAcentral